UACGGAGGGUGCAAGCGUUAUCCGGAUUCACUGGGUUUAAAGGGUGCGUAGGUGGGCAGGUAAGUCAGUGGUGAAAUCUCCGAGCUUAACUCGGAAACUGCCGUUGAUACUAUUUGUCUUGAAUACUGUGGAGGUAAGCGGAAUAUGUCAUGUAGCGGUGAAAUGCUUAGAUAUGACAUAGAACACCAAUUGCGAAGGCAGCUUACUACACAGCGAUUGACGCUGAGGCACGAAAGCGUGGGGAUCAAACAGG
Molecule: ribosomal RNA, 253 nt
Filed under: uncultured bacterium
Lineage: Bacteria
Description: partial 16S ribosomal RNA
Rfam family: Bacterial small subunit ribosomal RNA
Source: RNAcentral